GACGAACGCUGGCGGCGUGCUUAACACAUGCAAGUCGAACGAUGAAGCCCAGCUUGCUGGGUGGAUUAGUGGCGAACGGGUGAGUAACACGUGGGUGAUCUGCCCUGCACUCUGGGAUAAGCCUGGGAAACUGGGUCUAAUACCGGAUAUGACCUCGGGAUGCAUGUCCUGGGGUGGAAAGUUUUUCGGUGCAGGAUGAGCCCGCGGCCUAUCAGCUUGUUGGUGGGGUAAUGGCCUACCAAGGCGACGACGGGUAGCCGGCCUGAGAGGGCGACCGGCCACACUGGGACUGAGACACGGCCCAGACUCCUACGGGAGGCAGCAGUGGGGAAUAUUGCACAAUGGGCGCAAGCCUGAUGCAGCGACGCCGCGUGAGGGAUGACGGCCUUCGGGUUGUAAACCUCUUUCACCCAUGACGAAGCGCAAGUGACGGUAGUGGGAGAAGAAGCACCGGCUAACUACGUGCCAGCAGCCGCGGUAA
RNAcentral lists this ribosomal RNA (481 nucleotides) under uncultured bacterium. RNAcentral describes it as "partial 16S ribosomal RNA". It matches the Rfam family "Bacterial small subunit ribosomal RNA", at positions 28 to 523 of the family's 1533-position model. The record is from RNAcentral.